Long non-coding RNA from Rhipicephalus microplus (southern cattle tick), 620 nucleotides. Lineage: Eukaryota; Metazoa; Arthropoda; Arachnida; Ixodida; Ixodidae. The record is from RefSeq and is a predicted model, not a curated record.
AUAGUUUUCAGAGCACAGCUUGUCUAUCUGAACUAAGUGACUGCUCCUGUUUAGUGUCCUUUUAAGAUAGUCCCCUAGCAAUGCAGGCUUGAAAUUUUUCAUAAUUCCCUUUCAGGAGAAAAUAUUGUAAACUGCUAUAGACUACCCACCGACAUACUCCCUAAGGACAACGCAAAAUCCAAGUGCUACAUCGUUGCCAACAUUCAAGAAGGCAAUCCUAAAGGGGUGAGAAGGCCCGAGAUGUUCGCCACGACUCGUUGCAAGCCCUGGAAGUAGAGCGAGGGCAGUGUCUCCAGUGAUGCUCUCGUUGUCUCUUACUGUCUGCUGACUGCGCCAGAAUUCAAAGGGGAGCUGCCGGUGAAGGUUUCUUUCUGUUUAGAAGAUCACCGCGCCGUCGAAACUGGUGCAAGGUCUUUCCACCAGUGGAUGAAACUACCUAUGGUGAUAGAAGGCUUGUGGCAACGUUGACUCCUGCCUUUAUAACUUCGCUGGCGCGCACAAUGUAGCUGAUCGACAAGUGGCGUUGUUGCAGCGCGGUUGUCACAUUUUCUCCUUUUUUAUUAGGUAGGGCUCUGCUAAUAAACGCCUUUCUAAAUAAAUGUUGGUGCUGAGAUAACGGA